UACGAAGGUGGCAAGCGUUGUUCGGAAUUAUUGGGCGUAAAGGGCGCGUAGGCGGGUUUGUAAGUCGGUUGUGAAAUCCCUAGGCUUAACCUGGGAAUUGCAUUCGAAACUGCAAGUCUUGAGUUCUCGAGAGGAUGGUGGAAUUCCUGGAGUAGAAGUGAAAUUCGUAGAUAUCAGGAGGAACACCGGAGGCGAAGGCGGCCAUCUGGCGAGAAACUGACGCUAAAGCGCGAAAGCGUGGGGAUCAAACAGG
This 253-nucleotide ribosomal RNA is filed under the name uncultured bacterium. Its description in RNAcentral is "partial 16S ribosomal RNA". It matches the Rfam family "Bacterial small subunit ribosomal RNA", at positions 524 to 776 of the family's 1533-position model. The record is from RNAcentral.